Molecule: ribosomal RNA, 305 nt
Filed under: uncultured bacterium
Lineage: Bacteria
Description: bacterial SSU rRNA
Rfam family: Bacterial small subunit ribosomal RNA
Source: RNAcentral
AUAUCUACGGGAGGCAGCAGUGAGGAAUAUUGGUCAAUGGGAGAGAUCCUGAACCAACCAAGCCGCGUGAGGGAAGACGGCCCUAUGGGCUGUAAACCUCUUUUGUCGGAGAACAAAACCCGGGGCGUGUCCCGGACUGCGUGUAUCCGAAGAAAAAGCAUCGGCUAACUCCGUGCCAGCAGCCGCGGUAACACGGAGGAUGCGAGCGUUAUCCGGAUUUAUUGGGUUUAAAGGGUGCGUAGGCGGUCUGUUAAGUCAGCGGUAAAAUUGCGGGGCUCAACCCCGUCGCGCCGUUGAAACUGGCG